UACAGAGGGUGCGAGCGUUGUCCGGAAUCACUGGGCGUAAAGGGCGCGUAGGCGGCUUUUCAAGCGUGCGGUGAAAGCUCGGGGCUUAACUCCGAGUCUGCCGUGCGAACUGGGAGGCUUGAGUCUGGUAGAGGUCGAUGGAAUUCCGGGUGUAGCGGUGGAAUGCGUAGAGAUCCGGAAGAACACCGGUGGCGAAGGCGGUCGAAUGGGCCAGUACUGACGCUGAGGCGCGAAAGCCAGGGGAGCAAACGGG
Molecule: ribosomal RNA, 253 nt
Filed under: uncultured bacterium
Lineage: Bacteria
Description: partial 16S ribosomal RNA
Rfam family: Bacterial small subunit ribosomal RNA
Source: RNAcentral